This 558-nucleotide small RNA is filed under the name Pongo abelii (Sumatran orangutan). Its description in RNAcentral is "retained intron". The record is from RNAcentral. Lineage: Eukaryota; Metazoa; Chordata; Mammalia; Primates; Hominidae.
CCUUGCUCUGCGCUGAGGUGCUGGGACAGCCAUGAUUUCAGACGAAGAUGAAUUGAAUCUUCUGGUUAUUGUAGUUGAUGCCAACCCAAUUUGGUGGGGAAAGCAAGCAUUAAAGGAAUCUCAGUUCACUUUAUCCAAAUGCAUAGAUGCUGUGAUGGUGCUGGGAAAUUCGCAUUUAUUCAUGAAUCGUUCCAACAAACUUGCUGUGAUAGCAAGUCACAUUCAAGAAAGCCGAUUCUUAUAUCCUGGAAAGAAUGGCAGACUUGGAGACUUCUUCGGAGACCCAGGCAACCCUCCUGAAUUUAAUCCCUCUGGAAGUAAAGAUGGAAAAUACGAACUUUUAACCUCAGCAAAUGAAGUUAUUGUUGAAGAGAUUAAAGAUCUAAUGACCAAAAGUGACAUAAAGGGUCAACAUACAGAAACUUUGCUGGCAGGAUCCCUGGCCAAAGCCCUUUGCUGUAUCCUAGGUGUCUGAAUCAUUUAGAAGGUGUCUUCUGUAAUAAACAUAUCUUAACUUGUGACAUUUCUUAGGAUCUUGGGUGCCCAUUACUGGGACGU